This 889-nucleotide ribosomal RNA is filed under the name Amanita lepiotoides f. subcylindrospora. RNAcentral describes it as "partial large subunit ribosomal RNA". It matches the Rfam family "Eukaryotic large subunit ribosomal RNA", at positions 65 to 938 of the family's 3401-position model. Lineage: Eukaryota; Fungi; Basidiomycota; Agaricomycetes; Agaricales; Amanitaceae. The record is from RNAcentral.
CUAACAAGGAUUCCCUCAGUAACUGCGAGUGAAGUGGGAAAAGCUCAAAUUUAAAAUCAGGCAGCCUUUGGUUGUCCGAGUUGUAACCUAGAGAAGUGCAGCCUGUGCUGGACCAUGUAUAAGUCUCCUGGAAUGGAGUGUCACAGAGGGUGAGAAUCCCGUCUUUGACGUGGACUGCCAGUGCAUUAUGGUGUGCUCUCAAAGAGUCGAGUUGUUUGGGAAUGCAGCUCUAAAUGGGUGGUAAAUUCCAUCUAAAGCUAAAUAUUGGCGAGAGACCGAUAGCGAACAAGUACCGUGAGGGAAAGAUGAAAAGAACUUUGGAAAGAGAGUUAAACAGUACGUGAAAUUGUUGAAAGGGAAACAUUUGAAGUCAGUAGAGUUGGCUGGGGAUCAACCUGGCUUUUUUGCUUAGGUGUAUUUCCUGGUUGACAGGUCAACAUCAGUUUUGACCACUAGAGAAAAGCUAAGGAAAUGUGGCACCUUUGGGUGUGUUAUAGUCCUUGGUUGUAUGUGGUGGUUGGGACUGAGGCAUGCAGCAUACCACAAGGCCGAGUUUAGGCUACGUUUGUGCUUAGGAUGUUGGCAAUAAUGGCUUUAAGUGACCCGUCUUGAAACACGGACCAAGGAGUCUAACAUGCAUGCAAGUGUUUGGGUGGAAAACCCAAGUGCGGAAUGAAAGUGAAAGUUGAGAUCCCUGUCAUGGGGAGCAUCGANGCCCGGACCAGANCUUUUGGGACGGAUCUGCGGUAGAGCAUGUAUGUUGGGACCCGAAAGAUGGUGAACUAUGCCUGAAUAGGGUGAAGCCAGAGGAAACUCUGGUGGAGGCUCGUAGCGAUUCUGACGUGCAAAUCGAUCGUCGAAUUUGGGUAUAGGGCGAAAGACUAAUCGA